This 70-nucleotide transfer RNA is filed under the name Atta laevigata. RNAcentral's name for it is "tRNA-Lys". The record is from RNAcentral. Lineage: Eukaryota; Metazoa; Arthropoda; Insecta; Hymenoptera; Formicidae.
CAUUAAAUGACUGAAAAAGUAUUGAUUUUUUAAAUCAAAUUAUAAUAGAAAACUACUCUAUUUUUAAUGA